AUGUGGCAAAUGUUUCUGUCGCAAGUCACACUUAACUCUUCACCAUAGAAUCCAUACAGGUGAGAAGCCCUAUGAAUGUAAAGAUUGCAGAAAAGCUUUUUUCUGUAAGUCAGGACUUGCCCGACAUCUGGGUACUCAUACACAUGGUACUAAUACAAAGAAUAGAGAAAAGCAUUUUCCUGCAACUCAGAGCUCAGUGAAUAUCAGAAAUGAUACACAAGUUCGAAACCCAGUGGCUAUAAAGAAUGAAGAAAAACACUCUACUAUAAAUCAGUCCUCAGUCCAUAUGAUGGACUUCUUAGAGUUGAGAAGUCCUAUAGAUGUACAUAAUGCAGGAAAACUUGCCUUCUUAACUCAUACCUCAUUCAAUAUGAACGAACUUAGGUGAGACACACAGAGAAGAUUAGAAAGUGUGUAGUCAACCAGGAUCACUUGACAUCAGAGAAUGCCUGUAGAAGGAAUACAGCAAAGAACUGCCACAAGGGAGACCUCUCAACAUCAGAAGAACAUUUUGUCUGGAAAGAAUACAGGAAAGCUCUACCAUAGUUGUCUCAAUGCAAGCAACUCAAACAUGGAAAGAAGCUUAUGAAUUAAAAGCCAAAAGUUUGAAUUUAUGUAAUGAAGAACCCUGAGAAUCUAUAAAAAUCAAAAACAUUUUCCAGUGUAGACUAGUAUCUAUGUACUAACCUUGAAAAACAAACAUUUAAAAGACCCUUUUAAAGAACAUAGAAAAACUUUGAUAAGUCAGAUCACAUUCUACAUCAAAAAAGUCAUACAGGUGAGAGACUAUGUACAAAUCAAUUUUUCAUUCCAUUUCAUUGAGACAUAGAUAUUCAAGAUUAGGGACAUCAUAUCCUCUCCAAUUCUGGGUGGGCCUAGAGUGUUUAAGGGCAUGUGUAGAAAUGUGAUGUUUUGAAGUGGUGUUAAGGUAUCUUGGAAAUGACUGAUUCUGUAUCUGGUAGGAGGUAGUGGCUUACUUUGUAGGACUGCUAAAGUCACUGGUAAUCGGUGUUUUCUGAUUCUCAUUUGCAAGAGAAAAAUGUGGUAAAUCUUCUGAUAAAGUCAUUUUAAUCUGACAGUCAAUGGCAUAGGAGGUCCAGAAAUUAACAGUGGUUAUUUCCUGAUCUCAGAGAAGUGACGAUUGAGAAUGGUAACAUUUAUACCAAAUUAGUAGCACAGGAGAGUUCAAGGUAGUUGGGGUUUGUACCACACUUUGCAGAUACAGAAGGGAAUCCAGACCAGUGCCUAAGAUAACAAACCAAGUGAGUGUCAGAGCCAGGACCGAAUAUCCUAUCUCCGCUCAGUGUUGCUUGCGUCAACCCUGCACCAUUUUACUUGACCAGUUUAUACAGCUUCCUGUUGGUGGGUGAAGGGAGGAGAGUCUUCAUUAUCAUUUUCCAACUCUGGCAGAAGAGAAUCUCAAUAAUAUUGUCAUGAGGGACUGUCUUAAGCCAAGCAAUAGCCAUCUCAGGGAAUUCAGCUGUGUCCCCUUCCAAAAGCUCAUCCCAACUGGGCUUAUUGAUGGUCUCUACUCUCUUCUCCUCCCAGCAUCUAACUGCUCCCUACCAACUGGCAGUUCUGCAGACUGCCUAGGGGAAGAUUUAAAGUGAGUGCCAGGGAAGACGAGGGAAGGGGUCACAUCCUCCAUCUAUGCUGUUUUGGGGGGGAAAAUCCCAUUCUUGCUGAGUAAGGCUUUCUAGUUGUGGCCCACUAGGGGCAGUAUACCGAUACCCUUGUAAGUAUCCUUACCAGUGCUCUGUAAGGAAGCCAAAUAAAGUCUUUGGUUUAUUUAUGAACUUUGUGGAAUCCUGGCUCUCUUUGUCAUUAGUACCUUAGGGGAAGAGGUAGAGAUUUCUUUACACCUCCCCCUGCAAAGGAAUUUAUAGCAACAUGGACUCCCCAUUAGGAUGAAUCUUAACUCAAGAUGAGGCAGUAGCAUUGAGCAUCCCUAUGGUAGGUUGGAUCUCUAGGAAGUCAGGGUGAUCUUCUUAUUAUCCAAAUCCAGCCUUUCUUUCCGUUUCCCUUGUUAGUUAUCGAUACUCCAUUAGAAAGAGUAGAUAAUGCAAGAAAAUUUUAUGCUCAGAAAAUUCUACACUUAGGUCGAAUUGAAGAGGUACUGAUUAGAAGAAGUUUACACAAGAUAUGUUAAAAUAUUACUAUUUACUUUAAUAUCUUCCAAGAAUCUCAGUAAUCUUCCCUGACUCAGUGUAGUGAGAAAAUGAGAGGGUGACUUCUGGAAACAAGUUAAUGAGUUUUUAGUUGAGUAACCUUCUGGGCCAUGAAUGGGUACUGAGGUAUGGGCAUUUAUUAUCAUUUCUACGACUGUGUUGGCACAGUGUCAUUCCUUUACUUGCCACCUUUCUCACUGACCUGGUGCUUCUGGAUCUUCGUGAAGGAUUAUGUGGAUGUGUGUAGGGAGCUGCGACGUGCCACGCCUCAAAGAUGGCGCUGGUUUCUGCCUUCCACCUUCCCAACGGUGAGCACUCCUUGUAGUAAACAAGUCCUCAUUUGGCUAUGCCUGCCUGGCCUGCUAGCUUCCGCAUAGUGACAGCCUAUCUACAUGACCCACGUGGCUUGCUAGGUUUGGCCAGCGCUAGCUAUUUAAGUGUGGUGCAGGGGCUCCCUGGGGUCAGAAGAUUGUAUCAAGGUUUCUGAGUAAAACUGUUUGAAGAAGAU
This 2676-nucleotide long non-coding RNA is filed under the name Rattus norvegicus (Norway rat). Its description in RNAcentral is "long non-coding RNA NONRATT007812". Lineage: Eukaryota; Metazoa; Chordata; Mammalia; Rodentia; Muridae. The record is from RNAcentral.